AGGUACCACGUUCAAAAACUUUAAAAAUCACUGGGGAAAAGCUCUUUCCGAAUUGCGAGCAGCAAUGCUGUGCUUAAAACUAUUUCCUAAAGGAAUGAUGCUACAAUAUCUGACACGUUUGCGAAGGAACCGCUGACCUGGCGAUGGGUUGGUUCACGAUUAUGGCGCGAUGCCAAUCGGCAUCGCGCCAUGCUUGCAACCAGGGAGCCUUGUUACAGGAAACGAUAUGACAUUUGCCUGCAUAUAGAGCGGAGAGGAGUCGUUCCUCCCCUUGCGUCUUUGACUUUUAUGGCCAGGCUAUGAUUAAGGGUGCAUUUCCAGUGCGGAUAAGGCCAGGGAUUAGGGCACGGAAGUCCUUGGUACGAGCUUACCACAUAGUUCUGUUCCAGAAGGGAACCAAAGGUUGGAAAGGCGAGGUAAGUGUGCCAACAACUUAGCCGUUUAUCUCAAC
RNAcentral lists this long non-coding RNA (451 nucleotides) under Volvox carteri. RNAcentral's name for it is "long non-coding RNA (VCAR_LNC003665)". Lineage: Eukaryota; Viridiplantae; Chlorophyta; Chlorophyceae; Chlamydomonadales; Volvocaceae. The record is from RNAcentral.